This 253-nucleotide ribosomal RNA is filed under the name uncultured bacterium. Its description in RNAcentral is "partial 16S ribosomal RNA". It matches the Rfam family "Bacterial small subunit ribosomal RNA", at positions 524 to 776 of the family's 1533-position model. The record is from RNAcentral.
UACGUAGGGUGCGAGCGUUAAUCGGAAUUACUGGGCGUAAAGCGUGCGCAGGCGGUGCACCAAGCUCGAUGUGAAAGCCCCGGGCUUAACCUGGGAAUUGCAUUGAGGACUGGUGUGCUCGAGUGCGGUAGAGGGGGGUGGAAUUCCACGUGUAGCAGUGAAAUGCGUAGAGAUGUGGAGGAACACCGAUGGCGAAGGCAGCCCCCUGGGCCGACACUGACGCUCAUGCACGAAAGCGUGGGGAGCAAACAGG